Molecule: long non-coding RNA, 2038 nt
Organism: Apus apus (common swift)
Lineage: Eukaryota; Metazoa; Chordata; Aves; Apodiformes; Apodidae
Exons: 2
Source: RefSeq, a predicted model, not a curated record
UGGCGGGCGGGCGCCGGAGGGAGGGGCCGCGCGCGCCGGGACGUGACGCGCCGGGCGGCGAGAGGAGCGGGGCCGCGGCCGCCAUCUUGGGUGCCCUGCCCGCCCUGCCCCCGGGAUCGUCCCCUCAGGGCGCCGCGGGGCUCGCCUCGCCCCGCCUCGCCGUCACGGCAGCUUCAAAAAGUCAAAAGAAGGCUGUUUCUUGUCACGAAACGUAGGACGGCAGGGGGGGGAAGUGUCCCGGCUGGUGCGGAAAGGAUGUGCCCGGCUUCCCGGGACACCGGAGGGGAGGAGAGGGCGCGGUGUCCCGGCGGGGGCACAGCUGUGCGAGCUUCGGAAAAGGACUCGGUAAAGGCUCGGCAAAAGGAGCCCCUGCAGCUGCCGCGUCUGUGGCCCUCAGCAGAACCGGUGUUGGAAAGCGAAGGACCCAGCAGCAGGAACUGAUAUCUGAGAAAUUAUUGCCCCUUAACUGUGACUCUUCAGAAAUACAAGGGAAACCUCCCACUACUAUAGCUUUUCUUUGAUGCAGGAGAAGCUACAGAAGCUACAACUGCGGGAAAAAAAGCUUUUUCUUUCCAAAAUAUCCAGUGUUUUUUCUUCUCAAAACUCACUUGCUCAUGCCUGUGACGUUUGGGACUCCACGUGUGAGGAAAAUAUGCUCCGAGUAGUACCUGUUCCUUCCAAUCUUCCAGAAUAUUAGGAAGAAAAAAAGCUGCUGUCCCAACUGUUUCAGCUAACCUGGUUCAUUUUAAUGGAAGGAGUACUGGAAGAAACAGAAACGCUUGCAGAGCAGAGAGAGUGGUCCCUUUUUUCUCACUUCUAUAGUCUGAUCCAGAAAAUAGGACCUCUGAGUGUAACUGGCAGCACUUGCUGGAAUGUACACAGCCCUGAUCCUGCGUGUGGUUUGUGCUCUUAAUGACUGGAAUAUUAAGUCAGGGGCUGUGGAGAUUCCUCUCUGUCAAGUCCCGUGUGUUGACAGAGCUCUCAUUUCAUCAGCAGCCUUAGGAUUUUCCACAACACUUUCUGAGAAAAGCCAAGAGCCAUGAUGGGAAGUGCAGUCUCCCAGAUGUGUAAGCUAAAGUCACUCGGAGCUUGAUGAAUAUCAGAAAAGAGAAGUGGACUUAGUUCUUUGUGAAAACAGGAAGAUCACGAUCUUUCAGACUCUGGGCUACCCUGAGUUUUAUCUCUGGGAGAUUUCUCAGAAGAUGAAGCUGCUAGAUAGAAGGAGUUCUCAUCAAGGCAGAAAGUGGCAGAAGUCUGAGUCACCACAGCCACAUCUGUUGCAUAAAUGUAGUAGCAAUGUCACAGCAAUAUGGGUAGGGUAAAUUAGGCAGGGUUAAUUAGUCCUGAUGGUAUUCCGUACAGGCACAGCUACUUGCCUGCCAGUAUGCAAACUGUUCUGUUAAAAGCUGGUGUGGGUGCAGAAACCUCCUCACACUGUGGGCUGGGGAUAAGAAAAAAGACAUUUUCUUGACAUGGCUGUUUACAUUUUAAACACAGUUUGCUGGCAAUAUAUUGGAAGGCUACAGAGGGAAAAAGAAAAAAAAGACCAUCUCAUUAGCUACUGCUCAUGCUAAUUUUGAUUGGUAUCCUGAAGAAAACAGGGUAUUAUAAAAGCAGAAUGCCAAUGUCAUACCUCACUGAUUGCAAACCAGUGUGUUUCAGAAGGAAGCCUUUAGUAGAGAAACAGGAAAAAAUACUAAAAUAUGUAAAAAAGUAGAAAUGUGUGGAAAAGCAGAAAUUCCAUCAGCACCUUCGAUUUAAAACCUGCUGAAUAGAACUGGCAAGUGGUUUCUCAUUGCUUUUAGCUUCUGCACUUACUGUUUAAGGAAAUGAUCAGCAAGUAAAGUGUUUUGUGCCACCAAAUUGGAAAUCUAUUUGCUAUGGCUUUUGUCACGUUGAGCUUAUUUUAUAACCCUGUACUUACAGCUGAAUGGUUUGAUUAAUUGAAGUGAAACUCCCUACUUUUGAGUUAAUUUUUCUGGCAUAUUUUAAUGCUACUUCCUUUUGUGAUUAAAGAUUGUAUCAGGGACAUGCAAAA